This 106-nucleotide small nuclear RNA is filed under the name Dasypus novemcinctus (nine-banded armadillo). The record is from RNAcentral. Lineage: Eukaryota; Metazoa; Chordata; Mammalia; Cingulata; Dasypodidae.
GUGCUCACUUCGGCAGCACAUAUAAUAAAAUUGGAAUGAUGCAGAGAAGUUAGCAUGGCCCCUGUGCCAGGAUGACAUGCAAAUUUGUGAAGUAUUCCAAAAUUUU